GAUGAACGCUGGCGGCGUGCCUAACACAUGCAAGUCGAGCGAUUUACUUCGGUAAAGAGCGGCGGACGGGUGCGUAACGCGUGGGUAACCUGCCCUGUACACACGGAUAACAUACCGAAAGGUAUGCUAAUACGAGAUAAUAUGCUUUUAUCGCAUGGUAGAAGUAUCAAAGCUUUUGCGGUACAGGAUGGACCCGCGUCCGAUUAGCUAGUUGGUGAGGUAACGGCUCACCAAGGCGACGAUCAGUAGCCGACCUGAGAGGGUGAUCGGCCACAUUGGAACUGAGACACGGUCCAAACUCCUACGGGAGGCAGCAGUGGGGAAUAUUGCACAAUGGGCGAAAGCCUGAUGCAGCAACGCCGCGUGAGCGAUGAAGGCCUUCGGGUCGUAAAGCUCUGUCCUCAAGGAAGAUAAUGACGGUACUUGAGGAGGAAGCCCCGGCUAACUACGUG
RNAcentral lists this ribosomal RNA (452 nucleotides) under uncultured bacterium. RNAcentral describes it as "partial 16S ribosomal RNA". It matches the Rfam family "Bacterial small subunit ribosomal RNA", at positions 28 to 507 of the family's 1533-position model. The record is from RNAcentral.